This 543-nucleotide ribosomal RNA is filed under the name uncultured freshwater bacterium. Its description in RNAcentral is "bacterial SSU rRNA". It matches the Rfam family "Bacterial small subunit ribosomal RNA", at positions 8 to 599 of the family's 1533-position model. The record is from RNAcentral.
AGAGUUUGAUCCUGGCUCAGAACGAACGCUGGCGGCAGGCCUAACACAUGCAAGUCGAGCGAGGGGUAACCCUAGCGGCGGACGGGUGAGUAACGCGUGGGAACGUGCCCUUUGCUACGGAAUAGCCCUGGGAAACUGGGAGUAAUACCGUAUGAGCCCUUUGGGGGAAAGAUUUAUCGGCAAAGGAUCGGCCCGCGUUGGAUUAGGUAGUUGGUGGGGUAAUGGCCUACCAAGCCGACGAUCCAUAGCUGGUUUGAGAGGAUGAUCAGCCACACUGGGACUGAGACACGGGCCAGACUCCUACGGGAGGCAGCAGUGGGGAAUCUUAGACAAUGGGCGCAAGCCUGAUCUAGCCAUGCCGCGUGAGCGAUGAAGGCCUUAGGGUUGUAAAGCUCUUUCAGGGGGGAAGAUAAUGACUGUACCCCCAGAAGAAGCCCCGGCUAACUCCGUGCCAGCAGCCGUGGUAAUACGGAGGGGGCUAGCGUUGAUCGGAAUUACUGGGCGUAAAGCGCACGUAUGCGGACUGAAAAGUUAGGGGUGAAA